RNAcentral lists this ribosomal RNA (376 nucleotides) under uncultured bacterium. RNAcentral's name for it is "bacterial SSU rRNA". It matches the Rfam family "Bacterial small subunit ribosomal RNA", at positions 524 to 898 of the family's 1533-position model. The record is from RNAcentral.
UACGUAGGGGGCGAGCGUUGUCCGGAAUCAUUGGGCGUAAAGGGCGCGUAGGCGGGUCAUUAAGUCUGGUGUGAAAGGCAGGGGCUCAACCCCUGGAAGGCACCGGAAACUGGUUAUCUUGAGGACAGGAGAGGAAAGCGGAAUUCCACGUGUAGCGGUGAAAUGCGUAGAUAUGUGGAGGAACACCAGUGGCGAAGGCGGCUUUCUGGACUGUAACUGACGCUGAGGCGCGAAAGCGUGGGGAGCAAACAGGAUUAGAUACCCUGGUAGUCCACGCCGUAAACGAUGAGUGCUAGGUGUAGAGGGUAUCGACCCCUUCUGUGCCGCAGUUAACACAAUAAGCACUCCGCCUGGGGAGUACGGCCGCAAGGUUGAA